This 270-nucleotide ribosomal RNA is filed under the name Triticum aestivum (bread wheat). RNAcentral's name for it is "partial small subunit ribosomal RNA". The record is from RNAcentral. Lineage: Eukaryota; Viridiplantae; Streptophyta; Magnoliopsida; Poales; Poaceae.
CUAGCCGUCGUUCUGCUGCUUGUCGUUUGUUUUGCUUCUCCUUACUUUGAGGAACUCCAUAAGCACACGCAGCGCAACGUCGACGUCCUCACUCCGCAGCAGCAUCUCGGACACCUCUGCCGGCGUAACCUCCACCGCCGCAAGCAGUUCUUUAAUCUCCGGGAAGAGAGCGUGGUCGUCGACAAGGUGGUAGUUCCGUGCCAGCGUCUUGAAGGCCUCCCAGCCACAGUGUCCCAUGUAGACGUGCAUGUCCAUGCGGCCCGGCCGUAG